CAGUUACAGCAGGAUAGGAGCCAAGAUAGUCAAUGGUGCAGCUCACUUUUUUGGUGGUCAGAGUCCCAUCUACCUAUAAUGCUAUUCUUGGCUGACCUGAUCUUAAUGUUCUUGAAGCCAUCGUUUCUACUUACCAUCUACUGGUGCAUUUUCCGACUAAGAAAUUGGUGAAAUGCGUAGCGAUCAGAUGGUGGCUCGAUAGUAUUUUAUGAUUUCUGUUAAAAUAAAAUAACUUACAGAAACUAUGCCAGUUGAC
Molecule: long non-coding RNA, 256 nt
Filed under: Elaeis guineensis (African oil palm)
Lineage: Eukaryota; Viridiplantae; Streptophyta; Magnoliopsida; Arecales; Arecaceae
Description: long non-coding RNA (EGUI_LNC004402)
Source: RNAcentral